This 490-nucleotide ribosomal RNA is filed under the name uncultured bacterium. Its description in RNAcentral is "partial 16S ribosomal RNA". It matches the Rfam family "Bacterial small subunit ribosomal RNA", at positions 30 to 507 of the family's 1533-position model. The record is from RNAcentral.
AUUGAACGCUGGCGGCAGGCCUAACACAUGCAAGUCGAACGGUAACAGGAAGAAGCUUGCUUCUUUGCUGACGAGUGGCGGACGGGUGAGUAAUGUCUGGGAAACUGCCUGAUGGAGGGGGAUAACUACUGGAAACGGUAGCUAAUACCGCAUAACGUCGCAAGACCAAAGAGGGGGACCUUCGGGCCUCUUGCCAUCGGAUGUGCCCAGAUGGGAUUAGCUAGUAGGUGGGGUAACGGCUCACCCAGGCGACGAUCCCUAGCUGGUCUGAGAGGAUGACCAGCCACACUGGAACUGAGACACGGUCCAGACUCCUACGGGAGGCAGCAGUGGGGAAUAUUGCACAAUGGGCGCAAGCCUGAUGCAGCCAUGCCGCGUGUAUGAAGAAGGCCUUCGGGUUGUAAAGUACUUUCAGCGGGGAGGAAGGGAGUAAAGUUAAUACCUUUGCUCAUUGACGUUACCCGCAGAAGAAGCACCGGCUAACUCCGUG